AGAAGGGAGGACUUAGACUCAAGAAAAGAGGAAAAAAAAAAGAAGAAAAAAAGUGUCAAGUUCACCGCUCAACGUUAUUUCCAGCGCUGAGCGCGAGUUUCAAGGGUGAGGCCAUUACCUCUCGCUUAAGCGGCGCCGCUGAGUGUCUAGUGAUUUGGAGGCAAACUGCUGAGCGACGGAAUGGACCGCUGAGUCAGCGACUUGGAGGGAAACCGCUGAGCGGUCAAAUUAAGCGUUGAGCGCUGAAAUGCUGUGCCUAGGCGUAAAUUCU
This 271-nucleotide long non-coding RNA is filed under the name Vigna radiata. RNAcentral's name for it is "long non-coding RNA (VRAD_LNC011454)". The record is from RNAcentral. Lineage: Eukaryota; Viridiplantae; Streptophyta; Magnoliopsida; Fabales; Fabaceae.